GCUAAUACCGCAUACGUCCUACGGGAGAAAGCAGGGGACCUUCGGGCCUUGCGCUAUCAGAUGAGCCUAGGUCGGAUUAGCUAGUUGGUGGGGUAAUGGCUCACCAAGGCGACGAUCCGUAACUGGUCUGAGAGGAUGAUCAGUCACACUGGAACUGAGACACGGUCCAGACUCCUACGGGAGGCAGCAGUGGGGAAUAUUGGACAAUGGGCGAAAGCCUGAUCCAGCCAUGCCGCGUGUGUGAAGAAGGUCUUCGGAUUGUAAAGCACUUUAAGUUGGGAGGAAGGGCAGUAAGUUAAUACCUUGCUGUUUUGACGUUACCGACAGAAUAAGCACCGGCUAACUCUGUGCCAGCAGCCGCGGUAAUACAGAGGGUGCAAGCGUUAAUCGGAAUUACUGGGCGUAAAGCGCGCGUAGGUGGUUCGUUAAGUUGGAUGUGAAAGCCCCGGGCUCAACCUGGGAACUGCAUCCAAAACUGGCGAGCUAGAGUACGGUAGAGGGUGGUGGAAUUUCCUGUGUAGCGGUGAAAUGCGUAGAUAUAGGAAGGAA
RNAcentral lists this ribosomal RNA (549 nucleotides) under Pseudomonas savastanoi. Its description in RNAcentral is "bacterial SSU rRNA". It matches the Rfam family "Bacterial small subunit ribosomal RNA", at positions 162 to 706 of the family's 1533-position model. The record is from RNAcentral. Lineage: Bacteria; Pseudomonadati; Pseudomonadota; Gammaproteobacteria; Pseudomonadales; Pseudomonadaceae.